RNAcentral lists this long non-coding RNA (2284 nucleotides) under Ursus maritimus (polar bear). RNAcentral's name for it is "lncRNA (ENSUMAG00000013908.1)". The record is from RNAcentral. Lineage: Eukaryota; Metazoa; Chordata; Mammalia; Carnivora; Ursidae.
AUGCAGGCAGGGGGCAGGUGUCAUCAGCAUGUGGCAUUGCGGGGACGGAAGAGUUACGUGAAGGAGCGUACCACCCAGUCCGAGACCACGUGUCCUGCGGGUACUGAAAGCGCAGCAGUAAAAAAAAGAAAACAAAACGAUAAAUCAGAUACCAGUGCAUCUAAAAACAAUUCUUCAGCGGAAGGGACAGUGCCAAAGAGGUGGUGGAUCAAGCCUGCAGAAAUGUGUCCAGCACUGUCUAGGGUCAAGCUGCAGAACUGAGGGUCCCGUGGAAGGUCUGGCCCCUCCAGCUCACUGGAACAAAGAUUGGUCCCUUGGCCAGCACAGUACCCUGGUUCCAGCCCCUCUGCAGCGCCCUUCACACUGCCAACGUGGUGCGCGGGCCUCGGAGAAAAUCCCUGUGCGCAUGGGGCUUACCAUCUGCUCAGGGUCAGUUUGUGGUUAAGAGCCCGGUUUCUAUGAACAGACUAAGAAUGCAAAUCCCAAUUUCCCCUUUCUAUCUGGUGACCUUGGGAUAAUGAUUUAAGCUCUCUGCCUCAUUUACGAGAUAGGAAUGCUGUUUAGUGGUACCUAACUCCUAGCUACGGUCAUUGUGAAGAUUCGAUAUGAUUUUGCAUGUAAGAUCCAAGUACAGUGUCUGGCACAAAGGACACACGCAUGAAGUGUGUUUGCAAUUAUGGUGACCAGUAUUUUUACUGGAAAACAUGGUCUGAGAAUUCAGAACUAAAACCCAAACCGACCUUUUCUUUUUUUUUUUUUUUUUUUUUGAGAGCACAUGCAUGCAUGCUCAUAGUGGGGGAGGGACAGAGGGAGAGACCGUGUUAAGCAGGUUCCACACUCAGCAUGACCCUGAAAUCAUGACCUGAGCCAAAAUUAAGAGUCGGCCAUUUAACAGACUGAGCCACGCAGGCACCCGUAACUCUGACCCUUUUAAGUCACCUGGUUGGAGCUGUCCUCUGUGGCCUUGGGGAUCCAGCCUCCUGAGUCACAACUUCUGCCCCACAGUCUGCUCAGUCAUUAGAUCUGGGAAGUAUUUCAUACCAGGGAGAAAAGGCUAGGGAAGGGGACUGAGGGCAGUCAGGUGGCUGAGGGCUUGAACAUUUAAAUUUGGGCUAUAAAGUAAAUGUGACCUCCUUGUCAGAGUUGUGGGCAGUAGCUCAGAGUUGUUAUAGAGAUGGAUAUGGAUUGAUUGAUUGAUUUGUGUGCGUGUGUGUAUACACACACACACACACACACAUACAUACAUACAUAUCAGCGUGUCCCAGGAUGUGAGAAUUUUUUUUCUCUUUAAAAGAGAGGUUACCAUUUAAAAGUCUUCCACAAACAUAAUAAUGGUUGCGUCUGGCAAAAGAAACAGUGACUAAAGGACAGAGGUAUUUUUCACACUAUGUUCUGUUGUGCCUUUCUAAUUUCGUUCCUUCUGAAGGUAUUGCCAAUAUCUGAUGGUAAAGAAACCAAGUCAUCUUGCAGCAGGCUUCAUUCCGGAGAGUGCUCAAAUGCUCCGUUCUGAAAGGAGUGGCGUGGUCUCUUCCGGUUACACAGAGCCAGGAAGCGCCAGAUAUGCAGGGAGGACAUUGUUCCUGGGAGAAGGUGACCACAAAAUCUCUAGUGGACACGACCCUACAUCUCCAAGAUUUUCUCUUCUGAUGUAAGAAGACCGUAGUGGGCAUUACAGGGCUGAAAUGGCACUUUCACAAAGCUGUUGGACCCAGGGCCCGCCAGCCUCCCCCUCCACCAUCUCUAGUUCCAGCUCUGUCCUCACCCUUCAUGGUCCAAGGCCGCUGCUCCAUUUCCCCGCAUUCUAGCCAGAAGACAAAGGCAAAGAAAGGCAUAGCACUUUCCUUUAAGGAAAGUUCCCAAAAGUUGAGGGACGUUUCUGUUUCCAUCCCUUCAGCCAGAACUAACCAAACCUGGCUCCAAGGGAAGCUAGCAAAUGCCACUUGGGUAGCCCUGUGCCUCGCUAAAAGUAGGGGCUUCUGUUAGCAAAGAAAACAGGACGAACAGGAAGUGGGAAACAAUCAUGUCUCUGCCUCUGGUGUAUCAGGACUUUUGAGGUUUCUUUUUCAUUCAUUGUUGUUUUGAUUGACGAAGGUCUGACUAUCCCCCUGAACCCCUCAGAAAAAACAGGCUGAGACCCUGACCCCUUCAUUCCCACUUUUCUUUUCCCCUUCUGGCAAAUUUUAUGCCUGAGGGUUUUUGUUUUGGCUUGGUGGUUGGUUUCUCGUUUUUGUGUUUUUGGCUUGGUUUUUUGUUUGUUUUUUAAUAAACUGACAUUUAAAUUACA